This 403-nucleotide ribosomal RNA is filed under the name bacterium. Its description in RNAcentral is "partial 16S ribosomal RNA". It matches the Rfam family "Bacterial small subunit ribosomal RNA", at positions 355 to 776 of the family's 1533-position model. The record is from RNAcentral. RNAcentral also lists the same sequence under 1 other name.
UGGGGAAUAUUGCACAAUGGAGGGAACUCUGAUGCAGCGACGCCGCGUGAACGAAGAAGGCUUUCGAGUCGUAAAGUUCUUUUAUAUGGGAAGAUAAUGACGGUACCAUAAGAAAAAGCCCCGGCUAACUACGUGCCAGCAGCCGCGGUAAUACGUAGGGGGCUAGCGUUGUCCGGAAUCACUGGGCGUAAAGGGUUCGCAGGCGGAAAUGCAAGUCAGGUGUAAAAGGCAGUAGCUUAACUACUGUAAGCAUUUGAAACUGCAUAUCUUGAGAAGAGUAGAGGUAAGUGGAAUUUUUAGUGUAGCGGUGAAAUGCGUAGAUAUUAAAAAGAAUACCGGUGGCGAAGGCGGCUUACUGGGCUCAUUCUGACGCUGAGGAACGAAAGCGUGGGUAGCAAACAGG